This 2400-nucleotide long non-coding RNA is filed under the name Nicotiana benthamiana. RNAcentral's name for it is "long non-coding RNA (NBEN_LNC033760)". Lineage: Eukaryota; Viridiplantae; Streptophyta; Magnoliopsida; Solanales; Solanaceae. The record is from RNAcentral.
UGAUGUCAUUUUCAAAUCUAGGGAUUCUAGAAUGAAAACCCCUAAUUUUCUUUUCCGAUAUAUUUACAAUCCAACUUGCUUUGACCGGAAACUUAUGUUAAUAAAUUGCUCUCAACAACAGCAAUCGCUUGACGAUAGUUUUAAGUCAUUCUGAGACCAUCGGAUUUGGGUAGACUCGUCGGAUUCCGGUAAAAGCUCAUCAUUUCUAUCCACCUACCAAAGUUCAUCAUUUUAUUUUUUUUCUUAGAUCGGGUUUGGGUUAAGGACAUUUACUGCUUAUCUUUCAUCAUUGUCUUAGCUUACAUGGUUCCAAUUUUAAAUUUAUGUUAAUUUCUGUGUUUAUUAUAGUUUGUUUGAAUAUCAACUCAAUGGCUAGAUUACUAAGAUUUAACAGUCUUUUUAGUGAGAGCCGUUUGGAUGUUAGUAUCUUAUCGAUUUCUGUUCCUGCUUUAUUCUAGAACUAAUUUAUGAUAAAGUUAUUUAGGGUUAUGGUUAAUUUAAGGUUUAAUUGCAUAAAUGUUUUAGUCUUUUCAAUCUUUGAUCUGUGCCAAGUUUGGUUUUGUUUCGUUGGUUUUGACUUGUAACAAAUCAAAGCUUUGAGGGGAAUAAUUAAACAAAUAAAAAAACUUAAGCGGUCUUAGAAGAGUAUGAAAUAGAAUUUUUUUUCAAAUAAGGCUAAGAAGUUCUAGAAUUUGGGGCAGCUGGCUCAAUUUUGGCAAGCACAAAAAGCUGGAACCAAUAAGAGAUUGCCAGUUGUCCUAUUUCUAGUAGGAAGAUACCUUUAUAGGCUGACAUAUUCUUUGAUUUUUUUAAUUCUUCACUAAGGCACACACUUGACACUCUAUAAAAGGAGUAGCACACCUUCAUUACAGGGGACUCGGAUAAAAAAAAAAAAGAAAAUAGAAAACAAAAAGGGAAAAACUAAGAGAAGAAUUUCUAAAAAGCUGGUUUCAGUUGCUUUCUUUGGUAUUUUCUGGGUUGAUAAGCUGUUAAAUCUUAGCACCAUGGGUUGCUGAUUGUUGCUGGAUUUUUUCUGUUCAACCAAAGCUUUAUUUGCUUUCAAGUCUAGCAGUUAUUUUGUCAUUUCCUUUCAUGUUGAUCUUUGUUGAUAGGUAUGUAGUCUAUCUCUUGUCAAACUUUUCUUGAAAUACGGAUUCAAAUAUAUGGUUUACUCAAGUUAUGCUUCUGUCCAAAAUUUGUGCAGUAAAUGGAUGUGUUUUUAUGUUUAUUGUUUAAGUACACCUAUUGUUUGUUUCAUGGUACAUGAAUCCUAUAUCAGCUGUGAACAAUGUUUGGACUGUUUUAAAUCUAGUGAAAAUAUAGUUUGUUUUAUUACAAGUCGAAUAAGCUAGUACAAGUUCAAUCUGUGAAUGAAGCAAGUUUGAUUAGUAUACCAGCAUUUGCAAUUUUCCUUUAAGUGUUGAAUCUAAGUGUGAGUUGGUCACACCCAUGGAUCUGAAUGGAUAGAAUGUUGUUGUGAAGUCUUAUGGUAGUUUAAUUAAUGUUAUGAUCAUGACAAUAACAUGAACUUAUAAGCAAUAGUAUGAUUUAACUUUGUUGUUUGGAAUUUCUAUGGGCUCUUGCUGGUUUGAUUGUUGUAGAUUUGUGGUGUUUGAAAGUUAGUAAACCUUCAAUGUUUCCUUGAAAUGACCUUAGAAGAAAGUUGUUUGGCAUGUAUUUUCUCUGAGUUUUAUUGUUUUCUAAAAUCAUGGAAUAUUACAGUCUUCCUAACAGUUUAUUAUCAUUUGUUUUCUAUUAUGACAAUGUGGCUGCGGAUUUACAAGCUAGCUCUGCAGCUAGCCUUGCAAAUGCAAACUUAUUUUUAAUUACCAAAUCUAGAGUAGCUUGCAUUAACGGAGGAUCAACAUGUUUUGUGGAGCUUUAAUUAAUUAUUAGCUAGAUAUUAGGGUUGUUGAGCUGUUAUGAUUUGUGUUUUGUUUAAAUUAUUUUUAUUAUUCAUCUUGUAUAAGUUGAUUUAGUUGUUCUUUUCUAUGGUUAGGCAUCAUUAAUUUAAAGAAUGUAUGCAACCGUUUAUUAAGUUUAGUUUAAAAGAUUUAGUAGGCCUUGGUAGUGAUUGAUAUUGGCUUUGGCCCAAUUGAGCACCCAAUGUGAAACCAGGCACGGAAUGUAUGGUUCUGCUUUGCCUUUGCGUCUGGGCCCAAUGUCAAGCCCAAAUGCCUUCAAUAUUUUCACUCGUCAAUUGGCCUUCAAUAAUUUGUGGCCCAACGUUCCUCCUUUUGCCAUACUCCUUUAGUUUAAAUACUUUCAUAUAAACAUUAGGCCUAAUGCUUGGCCCAGCUCUUCUGAAACACUUAAGGGCCUUAUCUAUCUCCUCAUAAAAGCUUGGAAUCACCUUUGCAAUACCAAAUUUUGUUCAAACAUGAUCCCUCGUAGUUUACC